RNAcentral lists this ribosomal RNA (497 nucleotides) under uncultured bacterium. Its description in RNAcentral is "partial 16S ribosomal RNA". It matches the Rfam family "Bacterial small subunit ribosomal RNA", at positions 28 to 507 of the family's 1533-position model. The record is from RNAcentral.
GAUGAACGCUGGCGGCGUGCCUAAUACAUGCAAGUCGAGCGAACGGACGAGAAGCUUGCUUCUCUGAUGUUAGCGGCGGACGGGUGAGUAACACGUGGAUAACCUACCUAUAAGACUGGGAUAACUUCGGGAAACCGGAGCUAAGACCGGAUAAUAUUUUGAAUCGCAUGGUUCAAAAGUGAAAGACGGUCUUGCUGUCACUUAUAGAUGGAUCCGCGCUGCAUUAGCUAGUUGGUAAGGUAACGGCUUACCAAGGCAACGAUGCAUAGCCGACCUGAGAGGGUGAUUGGCCAGCCGGGCAGUGAGACAGGGUACAGACUCCUGGAGGAAGAAGCAGUAGGGACUCUUACGCAAGGGGCGAGAGCCUGACGGAGAAAAGCGGCGUGAGUGAUGAACGUCUUCGGAUCGGAGAACUCUGUUAUCAGGGAAGAACAUAUGUGUAAGUCACUGGGCACAUCAUGACGGUACCUGAUCAGAAAGCCACGGCUAACUACGUG